UUUCCGACAUUUUAUCCAGGUUUUUCUCAGAUAUUAUGAAAACCGCUUUAAAAAUCAAAAAAAGUCUUCUUUAAAUUACCAUGGAGAUAAAAUUUCCUUUCAGAAAAUAAGCCACACUUCAUACAUUGGAGCAAGAUUUCUGAAAGAAAAGUUAGCACAACAAAUCGAAGAGUUUUUCGCGAUUAAAAUAGUCCAGGUAAGUGAUGGCUUAGGCCUCUUGGUACCCCCAAAAUGCAUUAGUUUUUUCACUGUUUAGAUAAAAAGUGAAAAAUAUGCAAACAUUUUUAUUUGCACACACUGGUUUGAACUCAGAACCCCUAGGAUGAUAAUAGGCAUAAAUAACCAUUAAAUCACAACAAACAUGCUUUAAGAAGAACAAUAUAGAGUUAUUUAACAUAAUAUAUAAUAUCCGCAUAAUAUUUGAACUCAAAAAAGCUGUAAUUUCGAAAUUUAGUCAGUUCGCUCAAUUCUGACUUUACAUUCUUAAAUCGGCAAUACACAUAAUAUGUAUAUUUUUUUAAACAUAUUAUGUAAAAAAGAAAAAUUUAAAAUUAGAUUUGUUCC
Molecule: non-coding RNA, 564 nt
Organism: Cinara cedri
Lineage: Eukaryota; Metazoa; Arthropoda; Insecta; Hemiptera; Aphididae
Source: the annotation of a GenBank genome assembly